Molecule: ribosomal RNA, 467 nt
Filed under: uncultured bacterium
Lineage: Bacteria
Description: partial 16S ribosomal RNA
Rfam family: Bacterial small subunit ribosomal RNA
Source: RNAcentral
GACGAACGCUGGCGGCGUGCUUAACACAUGCAAGUCGAACGGAAAGGCCCUGCUUUUGUGGGGUGCUCGAGUGGCGAACGGGUGAGUAACACGUGAGUAACCUGCCCUUGACUUUGGGAUAACUUCAGGAAACUGGGGCUAAUACCGGAUAGGAGCUCCUGCUGCAUGGUGGGGGUUGGAAAGUUUCGGCGGUUGGGGAUGGACUCGCGGCUUAUCAGCUUGUUGGUGGGGUAGUGGCUUACCAAGGCUUUGACGGGUAGCCGGCCUGAGAGGGUGACCGGCCACAUUGGGACUGAGAUACGGCCCAGACUCCUACGGGAGGCAGCAGUGGGGAAUAUUGCACAAUGGGCGGAGGCCUGAUGCAGCAACGCCGCGUGCGGGAUGACGGCCUUCGGGUUGUAAACCGCUUUCGCCUGUGACGAAGCGUGAGUGACGGUAAUGGGGAAAGAAGCACCGGCGAACUACGU